Molecule: long non-coding RNA, 940 nt
Organism: Haemorhous mexicanus (house finch)
Lineage: Eukaryota; Metazoa; Chordata; Aves; Passeriformes; Fringillidae
Exons: 4
Source: RefSeq, a predicted model, not a curated record
UCAGGAGGAGUGUUCUUCAGAAUUUGAACUCUAAAAUGAUUUUUCCCCUUGGUCUCUUCUUCAGCAUGAAGAAUCUCAGUGCUUUCAGUCUAUCCUCAGAGGUGAUGUUUUAGAGAUUUCAGCUGUGCCUGUUGCUUUUUGUUAGGCUCUGGAAUUUGUCCAAAUCUCUCUUAAAAUGUACCCGGAUUAAACACAGUACUGCAGCCCUGAAGUUCUUUGAGAUGGUUCAAAGGAGGAUCACAAAAGCAGAACAGCAGAAGAGUUACAAGGUAGAUAAGAGGGCAUUUCCCUUCAACCACAGGAGCACCUGCAGAAGAAGCUUGGACAGAGCUCUGAAGAAAAAUGCAGAGGAACCACAGUCACUGAAAGAAAGUUUUCUUUCUCCUUCAAUACUCAUCCAUAUGCAUUAACAUUGUGGGUGAUCCCAUGCACUUCAGAUACUUGCUAAUUAUCUAAAGCCAAAAGGGAGAAGUGUAGCCUUCUCAAUACACUGUCCAAAUGGGCAGCUGAAAUGAAAGAAGCAAGAUAAAACUGAACCAGAGCAAGAGAAAAUGCUUUAGAAGAAAAGCCCUGGUCAUCCAAUGCACCUGCACACUGAGGACAGGCAAGAAAACAGUUCAGCUUGUCAACACUGGGUGCAACUAUUCUGUCCCAGCCAGCCCCAGCCCCACCUCAGUUUGCUUGCUGAGCGAGGAAGGAGGCAUCUUCAUGGCUCAGAAUCCUCACUGGACAGAUGGCUGCUGCCUCUUGGCCCUUGGCUGGCCACAUGAAUGGGUCUGGAGCAGUGUACAACCUUCAGACACUGUUUUCUGUGGGCCUGGCUGAGAGUAUGUCAGUUCUUGUCUUCAGAACCUUUUGACUCCUUCAGUGCUACUGAUUACCCAAGUGAGAGCAAAAAAUAAAUAAAUAAAUAUAAAUUUGAAAAAAAAAAUUACCUUAA